Molecule: small RNA, 74 nt
Filed under: Tenacibaculum todarodis
Lineage: Bacteria; Pseudomonadati; Bacteroidota; Flavobacteriia; Flavobacteriales; Flavobacteriaceae
Description: Tenacibaculum sp. LPB0136 Flavo-1 RNA
Rfam family: Flavo-1 RNA
Source: Rfam by way of RNAcentral
AAUAAGCUUGCGUUAGGGAUUGAAACGGCAUCCUUUUGUGUUUACAAAAGAUAGAGUGUAAAGCCCGACUUUUA